This is a non-coding RNA of Physcomitrium patens, 2073 nucleotides long. The record is from RefSeq and is a predicted model, not a curated record. Lineage: Eukaryota; Viridiplantae; Streptophyta; Bryopsida; Funariales; Funariaceae.
AGUGAAUAUCCCUGGUGAGCUUUCCCUCAAAUACCCGUUUACGUCCUCAUUUUUGAUCUCUCCACCUUGUCUUAACUUGCGGCUGCGUCUUGGUGCGUUCGUGAAUCAUGAGGGCCAAGUGGAAGAAAAAACGUAUGAGGCGUCUCAAACGUAAGAGGCGAAAGAUGAGACAGAGGUCGAAGUAGCCGUUCCGAUUUUGGUCGCUGUCUUGGGAGCAGUGGAGUAUGUCAUAUGUUUCAACUCGUUCUGCUGCUAGGUAUAUGUUCGGAAGGUGGACGACUCGAUGAAACUUCCACCACUAUUUCCUGUGCUGCAUCCCGAAACUGUGAAGUUUCGAGCGGUUUCCAGUAUCUGGCAACUAGAAUCAUCAUAGGCUCCUCGUCCUUGUGUAGAACUGUGAUGAGUUAGAUAAUAUAAUGAGAGCGAGAGAUGCAGGAUAUCUUUACGUAUGCUUCGGUCAUGAAAGUGCUUGUGUCAUUGUUAUCAAUUCGUUCUCCGUCUCCACAAUUUUUAUCCCCGAUGAGAAUUUGUACAAGACCAGUCAAUGAAAAUAACUUAUAGUAUUGCAGUUCGUGGCUACAACUAUGUAGUAUUGCAGUCUCUCAACUAGUAGUGUUGCAUUUAUUCAUUACUCAUGUCGGAAGUUUUCAAGGCAUUUCGUUGAAAAUAAGUUAGAGUAUGCUGAAGGAGAAUUCAGAAUUAUAGUUAUCUAAAGUUGACAAAAUAACAUAUAGUAGUGAACACGAUUUUGUAGUGAGAAGUAGGCGCAGCCCUUGCACGUUACGAAGAAAAGACAAACAUUCAUACUUGGGAGGCACAGGGAACUUGUAAAGGUGAAUCACUGAAGCCUCUCAACACACGAUUACUCAGGUGAGAUGGGAUCUAUGUGACCUUUUUGUUUUUUCUUACACUGCCUUACUGUCGGUAGAAGUCCGAUUUCGGGAGCAAAUGUCACACCAUGCGAGGUUGAAUUCUAUGUAGGUGUUCAUGGUAGAUUUUCAUAGUUUUGAUGUGACUGUACCAAUCUCAAUAGCUAACGGUGGUCAGUACCUAUCGCGGUCACGCUUACUUCAGAUUCUUCAACGGAUUGGCAAACCGUAUUUAAAGGCUAAUUACUUUUAAUAGAUGAUGCCAACUAGUAACGCUUUCACUGCACAUAUUUCUACGCUUGUGACGUUUAGGACUGUCGCUAUGUGGGAUGUGAUAACUGUCUGUUCGUGCGCUUCUUGAAAGUCCUAGAACCAGAUUGCACCUUAAGUCGUAGUGUUCCUCAAAAUCUGAACCUUCUUUGACUAUAGUGGUCUGAAACAUGGCCCUUGCUUCAAAUUUGUACACUACGGUAGGUGGACUUUGCAACUCUGUGCUUCACAUGUCGGAUGUGCAUCAGGUGCUCCAUUCAGAUGCCCGAUCGUGAAUCAAGUGUGGGUGACGGAAUGUUUAAGGAUUACUGAAAAGAAACUAAUGCAAGGUUGUCUCUUCUGCCGUUGGUUCGUUAUUGACCCUCUCUGAACACAACUCACCUUGAAGAAAUUGAAUGGAAUAGCUUUCAUAGAUUAUCUAAAACAGCGGAGAUACUAUUGAGAAGAAUGAGGAGGCCGCAAGAUGAGAACUGUACUUUUGGUUCACUUUGACGAGGUGAAUCAUCUCUAUUAACUUUUGAGGGUGGACUCAUUCAGUCGAGCCGCUUAAACUCCAUGGUCCUCUGGUCGUUGAGUUUCGCUAUGCACGCGUGGUUAUCAAGUUGUGCUGUGCCAGCCUUGGGAUGUAAGUGGGAGAGCUCAUCAGAACCACGAACCUCACUAGCUUGCACGCCUACUUUGGGGAGAGUUACUACGAAUCUUGCAGUUCAACUUUUGAAAGACUGCAACUCUGUCUCACGCUGAUAGACCUGGCUGCCAUCAGAUCAUCUUCAAGGGAUAAGAGAAAGAGCAUAGGCAACGGUCUCCCGAACUCUCGGAUGCUUGCAAAACUUAAGUACCGAUUUUAAAUGUAAUUUAAGCAAUAUUAUUGGUGGAUAAUUUGUACACUCCACAAUUGCCUCCGAAUAAAAUUUGUACGAGCUUGUGAUUGAGA